This 759-nucleotide unclassified non-coding RNA is filed under the name Hevea brasiliensis (rubber tree). The record is from RNAcentral. Lineage: Eukaryota; Viridiplantae; Streptophyta; Magnoliopsida; Malpighiales; Euphorbiaceae.
GAUUUCUCUCAGCUCUACGCCGGUGAAAUCGCCGCCAUGAAUCUCCGUAUCGUCGACAAAGAGGAGCAAGACAAUCGGUAUGACCUCUUCGACGUUCACUUCCACAGCGAUGUAAUCAAAACAACGGUAACUCCCGAUCCCGAUAUCAUCACCCAGUGGAUCUCCGAAACUGUAUCUUCUCACUCCGGCAAUCGCCGUCUCAUCGCCGGACUUGACGUUGAAUGGCGUCCUAACUUCAACCGUAACCAGCAAAACCCGGCCGCCGUUCUCCAGAUCUGCGUCGAUCGUCGUUGCCUCAUUAUCCAACUCCUCUACUGUCGAUCAAUCCCGGAGUCUCUGUUCAAUUUUCUCGGGAAUCGUGAGUAUGAUUUCGUCGGAAUUGGAAUUGAAAGCGAUGUGGAGAAAUUGUUGGAGGAUUAUGAGCUGAAUGUUAAGAAUAUGGUGGAUUUGAGAGGAAUUGCUGCUGAUGUAUAUGGUAUGAAGAAUUUGAAGAAUGCUGGGUUGAAGGAACUAUGCAAUGUCGUUCUGGAAAAGGAGAUUGUUAAGCCAAAAUCUGUUACUAUGGGUAGAUGGGAUAGUGAAUGGUUGAGUUUGAAUCAAAUCCAAUAUGCUUGUCUUGAUGUGUUUCUUCUGAAAUUGCUAAGCACUUGAAUGUAGGUGCUGCUUCUACUCGAAGAUAUUAGAAUCCGACUAUUUCAAAUUUACGUAGAAACAGUAUAGAUAUAGAAUUUGAUGGAUGAAGUUUUAUUUGAGAAUUUG